CCUACGGGAGUCAGCAGUAGGGAAUCUUUCACAAUGGGCGAAAGCCUGAUGGAGCAACGCCGCGUGCAGGAUGAAGGCCUUCGGGUUGUAAACUGCUUUUAUAAGCGAGGAAUAUGAUGGUAACUUAUGAAUAAGGAUCGGCUGACUCCGUUCUAGCAGCCGCGGUAAUACGGAGGAUGUGAGCGUUGUCCGGAGUUAUUGGGUGUAAAGGGAGCGUAGGUGGAUUGUUAAGUCAGUAGUGAAAGUCUGCGGCUCAACCGUACAAUUGCAGUUGAAACUGGCAGACUUGAGUACAGUAGAGGUAAGCGGAAUUCGUGGUGUAGCGGUGAAAUGCGUAGAUAUCAGGAAGAACUCCAGUGGCGAACGCAGUUCACUGGACUGCAACUGACACUGAGGCUCGAAAGUGUGGGUAGCAAACAGGAUUAGAUACCCUUGUAGUC
RNAcentral lists this ribosomal RNA (440 nucleotides) under uncultured bacterium. Its description in RNAcentral is "partial 16S ribosomal RNA". It matches the Rfam family "Bacterial small subunit ribosomal RNA", at positions 338 to 795 of the family's 1533-position model. The record is from RNAcentral.